AAGUAUUCACUUUCAGAAUUAGAUCCUGUGAACAGUUUUAAAAAAUCAUCUGUGUUUUUCAAGAUGAAGAGAAGAUGAGGAUUUUAUAAAUGUGAAUUCAAUAUGAGGAUUUUAUAAAUGUGAAUUCAAUAGGGAAAUAAAAAUGAAUAUGAGUCAUAUUCUUUUACCGUCUGUUGGUUGGCAGUGUUUCAGCAGUGCAUUGGGUAGUGUGUAAAGGUAGGAGAAGGUAGAAAGGAAGUUAGAAAGGCAUCUUCCUUCAUCCACUUCUACAACCAUGCCCCUCACUGGGGACCAGACAUUAGGGCACAGUAUUUUAUCACGAGCUUUCUUUUUGUCGAGACUGUAUGCUACACAAGUGCAUGCAAGCCUGUCACCAUUACUUAGUUAUUCCCAUCUAUGGUCUAGGAACCCCAAAGGGUUUCUUCAGAAGUGCUACAAUGUUGUCAUAUUCUCAAAGACUUCCUGAAGACUAACUGCAUUUCAAUUGGGAAUAUUAUUUAAAAGGAGGUUUAUCUGGCAUAGAAUACAAGAGUUUGAGAAACACCACCCUAUUUCUCUUAACGACAGUGAACAGCACAAUCCUGCAGCUGUCAUGCCAGACAGGGAAAGGGUGGAAGAAAAGCCUAUAUACCUCUCUCUCGCAUUGAAAUCCUUCAAAGUGUUUGGAUAAAGAGCAGAGAUGUUAGAUAAAUCUGCUUCUGAACCCCAGAGAUGGUCUCAUAACACAACCAAACAGUAUUUAACACACCCCUCCUCAAGCAGACACACUAUAAGCACUGCCUACCCCUGGGGCUGGACAUGAACACUAACAAUGAAUGUACUUGGCUCACCUCUUUCUACUUGCUCUCUUGCUUGCUGAUUUGUCAUUCCAGGGUACGGACAAACCCCUAAGCUGAAGGUCUCCCAGAGAAGGAUGCCAAAGCUCCACACGUCACUCUCUGAACUGUAUCUCCCUGGAAGAGGAACAACAACCAUAACCACAUGAGGCACAGUAGACAAGCUAACCUAGCAGAAUGUGGUAGAAGUGAUGGUAUGAAGUUCUGGAGUGUAGGCCACAAGAGACCUUGCAGCUUCCAACUUUUGUCUUUCUGGAACAUUCCUGAUACCAUGUAAAGAAGCCCAGGAACUGCUUCUUGGAAUACCUCUGGCGCCAGCAAAUGCCAUACUCCGAGGAUUCUACUACUACCACUUUUAGUCUGAUAUAAAGAGAAGAAAAAUUUAAACCUGGCAUAUUGAAACUAUUUAAUUUAGAGGCACUCAAAUUAGAGCAAUAGAGAUAA
Molecule: long non-coding RNA, 1280 nt
Organism: Homo sapiens (human)
Lineage: Eukaryota; Metazoa; Chordata; Mammalia; Primates; Hominidae
Source: Ensembl